Molecule: long non-coding RNA, 740 nt
Filed under: Lathyrus oleraceus (garden pea)
Lineage: Eukaryota; Viridiplantae; Streptophyta; Magnoliopsida; Fabales; Fabaceae
Description: Pisum sativum (pea) long non-coding RNA (PSAT_LNC023900)
Source: RNAcentral
UUAAAUUACUCCAUCACCAACAUCUUACACCACAAUUGAUUCAAACAGUCAUCAUCACCAUAACACAAAAGCAGAAAACUCAACCUGCAUAAAUGGCUCCGCCCCAUAAUCUGCAUCACUCCCAAUCUAUCCUUCCAUAAUCAAUAUACACAAACCUUACUCCCAUUUACUAAUCACAAACUUCAUAUACAGAGUACAAAUAAAAAAACCUCACAACAAUAAAAUCCUUGCAGAAAAAGAGAAUUACAAACUGAAAAAUGAGAAAGAAGAAGAGCAAGAAAACUUCGAAGUUGAAAAGGAGAAUCGAAACCACCACACCGAGGUCAUCGUGCACAACGCCGAUCAUCAGCUCUUCCAUUCAAAUCUUCGGCCACCACUUCCAUCCUCGUCAAAGUCGCGAAACGCACCGACUACUCCUCUCUCCGGAAACGCACAAACCACUGUACCCUACCACCAGAAAGAAUGUGACGCCUCCGCCGACCAUCACACACACAUCAAGUCACAUAAGCAGGAGUAUGUUUCCUCUCAUCACGUCACUGCAUAGUCGACAUCGUCGAUCUACUCCAAUAUGGUAUGAAGCAAUCCUUUCACUUUGAUUUUCCUGAAUCACAAGUUUUUAUUGUUGAUCUCCUUUUUAUGUUGUUGUUGAUCGAGAGAGAGGUUAGGUGGAAUAGAAAGGAAUCACAAUGAAGUUUGUGUUGUUGAAAUAUGGGGAAAUGAUAUGGUUACUUGAAAUCAAG